GAUGAAGAACGUAGCGAAAUGCGAUAAGUAGUGUGAAUUGCAGAAUUCAGUGAAUCAUCGAAUCUUUGAACGCACAUGGCGCCUUCCAGUAUCCUGGGAGGCAUGCCUGUCCGAGCGUCGUUUCAACCCUCGAGCCCUCGUGGCCCGGCGUUGGGGAUCUGCCACGGCAGGCCCCGAAAUACAGUGGCGGACCCGUUAGGCCCUUCCGUUGCGUAGUAGCAUCAGCCUCGCAUCGGGAGCCGGCGGGCUCUCCUGCCUCUAAACCCCCCAACAAGCCCGCUCCGGCGGCACCAAGGUUGACCUCGGAUCAGGUAGGAAUACCCGCUGAACUUAAGCAUAUCAAUAAGCGGAGGA
Molecule: unclassified non-coding RNA, 354 nt
Filed under: soil metagenome
Description: partial contains 5.8S ribosomal RNA, internal transcribed spacer 2, and large subunit ribosomal RNA
Rfam family: 5.8S ribosomal RNA (bases 1-120)
Source: RNAcentral